AGGAGGAAAAUAUUCAUCUAUAUAUUAGAAACUAAAAACAUGCUAACAAUCUUGGAUAUCUUGUUUGAGACCAUAGCAUACAUUUAUUAUUGCCAAACCAUCAGCAUCUUAUAUAACUAUCUUAUACUAUAAAAAGAACAUAAAGAAGAACCCCCAAAGCAUGGCAUCAAGAACUCCAAGUAGGUUAAGUUAAAUUACAAUGGCUAACAAUGAAGAUGCAAUUUACAUAACUGAAGCAUUCUGCAGAAGCUGGUAGCCGAUAAAUUUAUGUACCAAACAUUGGAUACAACACAGUUAGCAAUAGCGUACCAACAUUAGAGCGCGAAAACACCCCAAGAAGCACCAAAUACAGCCAAGAGCCAACUUGACAUGGAGAUCCACUGCUUCCACUUCUCCACACAGCACAGAAAUAGGGGGGAAAAAACAAUUUUGAGGAAAUAAACAAAAUUACGGCGAAAAAACUACAAAUUUCAGAACUCAGGAAUUUUGCACCGCAUACUACAAUACAACCAACAAUGAGGGUGAAAAGAUGACAAAUUUAUGUUCUCUUGACCAAGACUUGUAAUCUAUUACCUGUUGUCUAUAAGAAAGAUGGAAAGAUGAAACCCACAUCAAAUUCGAUGAAAAUAGAAGAUGAGAACAGACAGAGUCGAAGAAGACGAAAACUCUCCCCGGCUCUUAAUCCCCAAUAUACAUNN
This 698-nucleotide long non-coding RNA is filed under the name Elaeis guineensis (African oil palm). RNAcentral's name for it is "long non-coding RNA (EGUI_LNC011115)". Lineage: Eukaryota; Viridiplantae; Streptophyta; Magnoliopsida; Arecales; Arecaceae. The record is from RNAcentral.